This is a long non-coding RNA of Gadus morhua (Atlantic cod), 2254 nucleotides long. RefSeq lists it as uncharacterized. Lineage: Eukaryota; Metazoa; Chordata; Actinopteri; Gadiformes; Gadidae. The transcript is spliced from 5 exons. The record is from RefSeq and is a predicted model, not a curated record.
GCGUCCUUGUUGUCAAAGUCUGUGAACAGUAUUUCUGCUGAAGCCAAAAAACAGUCUUUCACUAUUUCUGAGUCGGAGAAAGGUUUUGUAGCCCGCGCCAGAAUCCACGCUAUCUCAUAAGACGCCUCUGUUAAGCGCUCUGCAGUGGAGGUUGUGCAGUGGAUUAGAUUUUGCUGCUCACAUAGUGAAGCAGUGAGCUGUGCAGUUUUCUUAAUUCUUAGUUCACUGCCAGGCGGGUAAAUUUCAUUGAAUUUUGGAUGCGCCGUUUUGAAAUGGCGCUCCAGAUUGCUUCGUUUGAAACCGGCACGGGUUUGUUUGCAAAUCAAACAUAGAGGGUUCAUACCAUGCAAAACAAACAGGAAUUUGUCCGUCCACUUCUCUUGAAAUUUUCUGUGCUCAUCUUAUAUGCUUCUUAUUUUUCGUUUUUUAAUUACACCUGCCGUUCAUCUGCCCGUCCCCUCUCCGAUGUCUUCCUGCUGAUUUUUGUCCUCAGACUUAUUUCCCUCAUCCACUCCACUAGCAACACUGUCUGUCUGUUCGUCUGGUUUUUGAGUUCUUUUCUGUCCCUUUUUUAUUAAAAAACGGUCCAUUUCGUAUUUCCGCUGGCGUGCGGAGCUAGCGGAGCUUACGUAGCCCGCCUUUAAAUUUUGAGCGGUCACGUGUUGUAAACAAUGCCACACGCUUGCGGGCUGCGUUGCCAGGUUUGACAGGUUGACAAUUCCCCCUUUAGGGAUCACCAUUAAGGCUUAAUACUUUUAAUUUCUCCUUCAUUAUUUGGGUGAAGGGACAAGUAUAAUUCAGAUGUUUGCGUUUUUGUAGUGCAGUGUUGUACGUUUAUGAAGCACAUUUGAAAAAAUGUAUUGGCUGUGUUACCACAUAGGAAGCUACCAUGCGAGCCACCAAUUAUAGCUUGACGAGCCGCAUGUGACUCGUGAGCCGCGCAAUGAGUAACGCUGCUCUAGACUCAUCGGUGCCACCGAGCCAAUUCAGUGCAGAUGUUUCAGGUAAUGUACUGAAACAAUUUAUAUCGUUUUGUCUUAUGUUUCAAAUAAUAACUGCAUGCAUUAAUAUGUAAUUGGGGGUGGGUGAUUUCAGGAUAAGGAAAAUAUUUUUAAAAAGUGUGUUCUCUAAUUUACUACUGCCUAACCAAAAGUAUUUUUAAUGCAAGGUUAAGGAGCAGACUUUUAGUCAACCUCUUAAAGAAUGGUGGGAAGCAAUUUCUUUUGCUUCUGACCUUUGCUUCUGACAUUUGUUUUAGUAUUUAAUAUGUUGUUAAUUAUUAAGUAGUUUUGAUUGGCUGUAAAUUAACUAGUGUGAGGUUGUGGAUAGUUAAUGAAGGUCUUAUUCUCUUGCACUUUUCCUAUGUCAGAAUCAAGUUCAUCUUCAGAACUUUUGCUGCAGCCUUCUGACUCAGACUCAUCAGUUCGACCCCAGCGCUGUUCCACCCCAAAACGAUCAUUAGCUUUUAAACCUUCAUCUUCAUCAUCAAACAGCAGAGGUAUUUUGGGAAAUGUCUUCCUAAGAAGGUCUGUAUUUUGCACAAUUAAUGUAUAUGGACAUUAAUUAUCUUUCCACUAUUCUUUUCUCUACAUUUUGUCUCAGUCUCACAAAGAUCAACCAGUUCAGCAGAAAAGAAGCCUAAAACAACUCAUUCAGACCCGGCACCAAGUUCCCAAAAAAAAAAAUGGAGUGACAAGGAAGUUGCUGCUGUGGAUUCGCAAAUGGGAAGAUUUAGAGAAAAUGCUCUGCCAGCAUUUCGAACAUGUGGAGAUUCGAGGGAAGCAUGGCAGGAAGGUGCCCAUAAUCCUAACUUAAGCUUGUGUGGAGUGGGUGAAAACCUCUACUUAUUUGCCAGGCCAGGGUUAGACACAAGAUUAAGGGGGUCUGACUGCAUCCGUGAGUUGGCUAAAAACUGUGGGGCCCGAAAACCAGAAACUCUCUCCUCCACAAAACUUAGAAGACAAGUGGCCACUCUCACCAGAGUACUGAAUCUAAAUGAUACAGAACAAGACCUUUUAGCAGACUUUCUAGGACACGACAUAAGGGUGCACAGGAAGUUCUACCGCCUCCCUGAAGGGACUUUGCAGUUGGCAAAGAUCAGCAAGGUACUGAUGGCCUGCGAACAGGGCAGACUGUCUGAAUUCAAAGGGAAAAGUCUGGACCAAAUCUCUAUCAGCCCCACAGACCCAUCUGAAGUUAUUGAAGAAAGCUCAGGGGAGUCAUCUGAAGAGGAAGAUGAUACAAAUACUCCAAC